AGAUUGAACGCUAGCGGGAUGCUUUACACAUGCAAGUCGAACGGCAGCGCGGACUUCGGUCUGGCGGCGAGUGGCGAACGGGUGAGUAAUAUAUCGGAACGUGCCCAGUAGCGGGGGAUAACUACGCGAAAGCGUGGCUAAUACCGCAUACGCCCUACGGGGGAAAGGGGGGAUCGCAAGACCUCUCACUAUUGGAGCGGCCGAUAUCAGAUUAGCUAGUUGGUGAGGUAAAGGCUCACCAAGGCGACGAUCUGUAGCUGGUUUGAGAGGACGACCAGCCACACUGGGACUGAGACACGGCCCAGACCUCCGUACGGGAGGCAGCGAGUGGGAAUUUUGGACAAGUGGGGAAACCCUGAUCCAGCCAUCCCGCGUGUGCGAUGGAAGGCCGUUCGGGUUAGUAAAGCUACGUUUU
Molecule: ribosomal RNA, 415 nt
Filed under: uncultured soil bacterium
Lineage: Bacteria
Description: bacterial SSU rRNA
Rfam family: Bacterial small subunit ribosomal RNA
Source: RNAcentral